GAUGAACGCUGGCGGCGUGCCUAAUACAUGCAAGUCGAGCGAACGGAUGAGAAGCUUGCUUCUCUGAUGUUAGCGGCGGACGGGUGAGUAACACGUGGAUAACCUACCUAUAAGACUGGGAUAACUUCGGGAAACCGGAGCUAAUACCGGAUAAUAUAUUGAACCGCAUGGUUCAAUAGUGAAAGACGGUCUUGCUGUCACUUAUAGAUGGAUCCGCGCUGCAUUAGCUAGUUGGUAAGGUAACGGCUUACCAAGGCAACGAUGCAUAGCCGACCUGAGAGGGUGAUCGGCCACACUGGAACUGAGACACGGUCCAGACUCCUACGGGAGGCAGCAGUAGGGAAUCUUCCGCAAUGGGCGAAAGCCUGACGGAGCAACGCCGCGUGAGUGAUGAAGGUCUUCGGAUCGUAAAACUCUGUUAUUAGGGAAGAACAUAUGUGUAAGUAACUAUGCACAUCUUGACGGUACCUAAUCAGAAAGCCACGGCUAACUACGUG
RNAcentral lists this ribosomal RNA (497 nucleotides) under uncultured bacterium. RNAcentral describes it as "partial 16S ribosomal RNA". It matches the Rfam family "Bacterial small subunit ribosomal RNA", at positions 28 to 507 of the family's 1533-position model. The record is from RNAcentral.